AUGAACGCUGGCGGCGUGCCUAAUACAUGCAAGUUGAGCGAACGGACGAGAAGCUUGCUUCUCUGAUGUUAGCGGCGGACGGGUGAGUAACACGUGGAUAACCUACCUAUAAGACUGGGAUAACUUCGGGAAACCGGAGCUAAUACCGGAUAAUAUUUUGAACCCCAUGGUUCAAAAGUUAAAGACGGUCUUGUUGUCACUUAUAGAUGGAUCCGCGCUGCAUUAGCUAGUUGGUAAGGUAACGGCUUACCAAGGCAACGAUGCAUAGCCGACCUGAGAGGGUGAUCGGCCACACUGGAACUGAGACACGGUCCAGACUCCUACGGGAGGCAGCAGUAGGGAAUCUUCCGCAAUGGACGAAAGCCUGACGGAGCAACGCCGCGUGAGUGAUGAAGGUCUUCGGAUCGUAAAACUCUGUUAUUAGGAAAGAACAUAUGUGUAAGUAACUGUGCACAUCUUGACGGUACCUAAUCAGAAAGCCACGGCUAACUACGUG
RNAcentral lists this ribosomal RNA (496 nucleotides) under uncultured bacterium. RNAcentral's name for it is "partial 16S ribosomal RNA". It matches the Rfam family "Bacterial small subunit ribosomal RNA", at positions 29 to 507 of the family's 1533-position model. The record is from RNAcentral.